CCAGACUCCUACGGGAGGCAGCAGUGGGGAAUAUUGCACAAUGGGGGGAACCCUGAUGCAGCGACGCCGCGUGAGUGAAGAAGUAUUUCGGUACGUAAAGCUCUAUCAGCAGGGAAGAAAAAAGGACGGUACCUGAGUAAGAAGCCCCGGCUAACUACGUGCCAGCAGCCGCGGUAAUACGGAAGGUCCGGGCGUUAUCCGGAUUUAUUGGGUUUAAAGGGAGCGUAGGCCGGUCUUUAAGCGUGCCGUGAAAUUUUGUGGCUCAACCAUGAGAGUGCGGCGCGAACUGGAGACCUUGAGUGCGCGGAAGGCAGGCGGAAUUCGUGGUGUAGCGGUGAAAUGCUUAGAUAUUGCGCAGAACUCCGAUUGCGAAGGCAGCAUACCGGCGGCGAUCUGACGCUGAGGCACGAAAGCGUGGGUAUCGAACAGGAUUAGAUACCCCAGUA
Molecule: ribosomal RNA, 446 nt
Filed under: uncultured bacterium
Lineage: Bacteria
Description: bacterial SSU rRNA
Rfam family: Bacterial small subunit ribosomal RNA
Source: RNAcentral